RNAcentral lists this ribosomal RNA (301 nucleotides) under uncultured bacterium. RNAcentral's name for it is "partial 16S ribosomal RNA". It matches the Rfam family "Bacterial small subunit ribosomal RNA", at positions 509 to 807 of the family's 1533-position model. The record is from RNAcentral.
CAGUCGCCGCGGGAAUACGGAGGGUGCAAGCGUUAAUCGGAAUUACUGGGCGUAAAGCGUGCGUAGGCGGUUCGUUAUGUCUGUUGUGAAAGCCCCAGGCUCAACCUGGGAAUGGCAAUGGAUACUGGCGAGCUAGAGUGUGUCAGAGGAUGGUGGAAUUCCCGGUGUAGCGGUGAAAUGCGUAGAGAUCGGGAGGAACAUCAGUGGCGAAGGCGGCCAUCUGGGACAACACUGACGCUGAGGCACGAAAGCGUGGGGAGCAAACAGGAUUAGAUACCCCCGUAGUCCCUGUCUCUUAUAC